UUCAUAAACAGUUAGAGCAUUGAUCAUCAGUUGCUGAUAACCGGAUGUCACAAAACGUGAUUCAUAAACACUUUUUAGCGCUAAACAGUUGAUCAUCUCUUUAUUAAAUCCUCGGAAAGUUAUGGAGCCGUGGACCCUUCUUUAUCUGUUUAUUAUCCCUAAAAUACAAGAUGGCGGUCACAAAACAGCUGAUUUUGACAAGACAGCAUUUCACAAAUUAGUGCAAACGUCGAUGAGACUUGUAUCGUAAUUUAGUGAUUUGGGUGUUCUUUUUGUUUAAAAAACGUCUAAAUUUAAUAAAUGAGUGGUUUAAUAUGUGUAAAUAAGGAGAUAAACCAUUACAUACCUAGAUAAAGUGCGCAAAUAGCGGGAAACCUAGAUAUUGUGCCUUUGCUAGGAGUUGUUUGCACGAUUGUAUGUCGCAUUCAUCAAGAUGCAAGCAAUUUAUGCGAUACGAACUGUUAUACCAUAAGACUAGACUUCUACGACUGGGGCACCGGCGUCGGAUAAAGCACCUCACCAACCUAUAUACCUAUCAUAAAAGAAUGAAAACUACUCCCGGAACUCCUACAGCGCAAAGAAUACAACCAACUUCAUUUGAUGGCGGUGUGCAGGCCGGUUAGAUGCCAGAAGAGUGUGGCCUCCGGAUUGUGUAGCCAGCUCCGGACAAAUAGCUGAUGAUGGAAUACUCACAACCUGAAAAGAACACAGUUUCAAUUAAUAUACUCAUUGAAUCAACCUAUAUCAUCUUUUAUUUUAAGCUUAAGUAUAACAUCCUAAUGGAUAUGGCAAUAUGGAAUAAUUUCCAUAUUGUUGUGGUAACUAUAUGGAAUAAUGGAUCUCCAUCCAGGCAGAGAUUCUGUUGUUGUUUGUCAAUACCAUAGCUAUCUCACAGCAAAACUAAAGAAUUACAUACAUGUCUGUUUUGUUCAUACAUACUUCUACCUAGCGUACCUACAGACACUGUUUCUUACCGGUAAUUGUAGUUUGAUAAAAUGAAAUUAUACAAUAAUAACAAAGUUAUGAAUUGAAACGCUAAUAUACUUUUAAACAAAUAAUUAACCUACAAUGGUGUGUUAUGAUUGAUAAGUACCUUAUGUAAAAAUCAUAUUGAUAUCUUUGUUGAUUUAAAAUUAUAUAACCUACCAACAGCGACACUCCUGUGAAUAAUGAACAUUUCUGCCUCAUUAUGAAUUGUGCAGUUUGCCUUUUAAUGCGGCUAUUGGCUGAGAUGUUUCACUGCAAACAUUGUCAUUGUCAAGUUGCAUAUAUAAGCGCUUAUCUUUAACUCUGCGCCCUAGGCGAACAAAAAAGGUUUUUAAGAUAAAUCACCACUUCACUGAUAAAUUGGUUCCAUCGUGUGGUUGGUUAAGUAUUGUAAGAGUAAAAACACCAGAGCACCACUUAUUAACAAGAUUUAUUAGGGAAUCACAAUAUGAGAGUAUAGAUCUGAAAAUAAUAUGCGAGGACGCUCUCGCGUAAAACCAAUCUAAGAUGGACGACCACCUCUAGUGAUGUGACAUUGUCGGUUAUCGUAGUGAUGUUAAACACCGAUGGAUGACGAUCUCGCCGUUCAGCUCGGCCAUCUUCUGACCCGACCUACGUCCCGUCAGGUCACUGUUAUCAAGGCCGCCACUGAAGACUGCCGCAACCAACGCAGUCGCAGCAAGCUGGGCCUUCACCAGGUGGCGGUAGCCUCCACCAGUUCAUUACUGGUUGGCUCCUCCGUUGAGUUGGCUCCUCAACUGGUGGGAGGCUAACGUGGGACACGUCUCAUGCAUGUGCAUAGGUGCCCUCCGAUACAGCACAUGUAAACAGUACAAACUCUUAUUCACGAAACUCUGUAACAUACAUGUGAAAAGCCUCAGUUCCUUAAUAUAACCAAGGCGUUAUAAUUCACCCUAGCGCCAUCGACAGGCUUUGACAUUAGCAUACCACAAUGUUGUUCAAAAUAAUCAUGAUAAGAUUUCGACGAUAUAUUAAUGCGCAAAUGGCACAGUUAGACCCUUUGAUCACAGGUCCGGCUUGAUAGCCAUAAAAUUAUACCGUAAUAACCAUCACAGUCAAAAGGUCUACUUCUGUAAAUACAUAAGAAAGAUGCAGUUCUUAUUGGACAGAACUCAUGAGCGCUCUUUAGCAACAUUGUUAAUAAAUUACAUUAUCACCCUUAAUGACGACGUAAUCAAGUAGGUACUUCAUGUCACCGCUUUCUAGCAUCGUGACUAAUGGCAGUUAACCACAGAUUUGAUUAUUGGACAAAAAGAAAACAUUACCGUGUUAAAAUACCACAUGCAGGCUAGAAUACCACUGCCCUUGUAGGGGCAACGACCGUAGAAGUCAGCCCUUCACGAUAAGGCUGUCACGGAGCCCAUUGCACGCACUCGUUCUACUGGGCAUCUUGAACCGGCACUACCUCAACCUCUACUGGGUCCGGAACUGCGCCAGCAAUCUCUAAAAGGUAUUAGUGCAAGCAACCCUUUCUAGGUAACCUUGAGAUCAUCAGUAUUAAGGUCAUUUAAAUAUCCUUUUGUAAACAAAGUCUCAAGCCAACCUCUCAAGGUCAACAACAAAUAGUACGAUAUAGAUAAAACAGUUAUCGGUAGUAGAAAUAAUGGUCCUCUUAAGGAUAAUCUCAUAUCACAUACAAUGGACCGCCUCUUAAGGCCUACACUGCAGAUACCAGGAACAAACUAGCAUCUUAAGAAUAGUACUAUGUUAUAAGCAAUGGACCGCCUCUUAAGGCCUACACUGCGGAAACCAAAAACAACUAGCCUCUUAAGGAUAGUAUUGUCAUCAGCAAUGGACCGCCUCUUAAGGCCUACACUGCAGAAACCAAAAACAACUAGCCUCUUAAGGAUAGUUAAUACUAUGACAUAAUUGUCAUCAGCUAUGGACCGCCUCUUAAGGCCUACACUGCAGAAACCAAAAACAACUAGCCUCUUAAGGAUAGUUAAUACUAUGACAUAAUUGUCAUCAGCAAUGGACCGCCUCUUAAGGCCUACACUGCAGAAACCAAAAACAACUAGCCUCUUAAGGAUAGUAAUGUCAUCAGCAAUGGACCGCCUCUUAAGGCCUACACUGCAGAAACCAAAAACAACUAGCCUCUUAAGGAUAGUUAAUACUAUGACAUAAUUGUCAUCAGCAAUGGACCGCCUCUUAAGGCCUACACUGCAGAAACCAAAAACAACUAGCCUCUUAAGGAUAGUAAUG
This is a long non-coding RNA of Cydia fagiglandana, 3210 nucleotides long. RefSeq lists it as uncharacterized. The transcript has 3 exons. The record is from RefSeq and is a predicted model, not a curated record. NCBI's taxonomy places the organism in Eukaryota, Metazoa, Arthropoda, Insecta, Lepidoptera, Tortricidae.